Prinia subflava (tawny-flanked prinia) is the source of this 5046-nucleotide long non-coding RNA. RefSeq lists it as uncharacterized. NCBI's taxonomy places the organism in Eukaryota, Metazoa, Chordata, Aves, Passeriformes, Cisticolidae. The transcript has 5 exons. The record is from RefSeq and is a predicted model, not a curated record.
GCAGCAGCUGAGGGAGCUGGGGGUGUUCAUCCUGGAGAAAAGGAGGCUCAGGGGAGACCUUACCACUCUCCACAACUGCCUGAAAGGAUGCUGUGGUCACGUAGGGGUCAAUUUCUUCUCCCAUGUAACAAGUGACAGGACAAGAGGAAAUGGCCUCAAGUUGUACCAAGGGAGGUUCAGAUUGGACAUUAGGAAGGAAUUCUUCAUGCGAAGGGUUGUCAAGCAUUGGAACAGACUGCCUGGUGAAGUGGUGGAGUCACCAUGCUUGGAAGUGUUCAGAAAGCUUGUGGACAUGGCACUUGAGGAAAUGGUUUCAAGAUUAAAACGGUGAUGCUAUAUUAAUGGUUGGCCUUGAUGAUCUUAAAGGUCUUGUCCAAUCUUAAGGAGUAUACAAUGUGCAGGCAGACCUAACUGGUCUCCUUUUCUUGGAGGUGGGGAAUUCCUCAAACAUGUGUACCAAAAAUAUGCUUUAGAUCCCAGAAACAAAAUCCAGUGUCACACUUUAGGUUUCACAGAGGAAUGAUUUUGAAGGACUUCCAAGGCAUCAGUGUUGUCAGUUUAGGUUUUUUUUUUUUUUUUAACUUAUGAAUGGAAUGUCUAGAUCAGAUUUCUACUCUUCCUCAUGAUCAUAAAAUUAUCUCACCAAAAUGCUGUACAAACACAGGACUCUCAUCUGCAGAGAGGAGUCUGGACUGCUGGCUUCUGUCCUCAUCUUCUAAAUAUCCACUUGCACUGAACUCCAUGAUUUUCUCAGAAAGACUGGUCAUCACUUUUUAGAAGAGUUUCCCAUGAGGUAAUGGCAUGAGUCAGCAUGGAGGCUGUACAGCACAGACACAACGAAACAGGUGGUACUGAGACCUCCUGUUCAGCCCUCAGCUGCCUUUUUGCAGUGUUGUAGAGCUGGCUUUAUGCCACACUCAGACCAAAUACGACAGAAAUACUGCACUGGAACAACUCCAACUGCCAAUAGGUAGGUUCAUCAUUCAAAUGCUUAACAUCCUUGUAUUUAAAAACAAACAGUUUACAAAGAGAAGGAGGGGAGAGUGCAUUAAAAAUGUACUAACCAUGAGCAUGCCAUUCAGCCUCCUGUUAAAGUCUGCCUGUUGGGAUUGGUUCUUCUCCAGUUGCUGUGAGAUGUUUUCUUCAGACUGGCAGGUGAGGUAUUUUUUUCAUGCUGUUGGGUCUGGAUCCCAUGCAGGAACAUGAUUAUGUCAAAAAAUCUGAUUGGUAAAGCAAAACUCCUCUUGAACCUGAAAAAUCAGAGACAUGGCUGCCUGCAGCUUGAGGCACAAGAGUCAUCAGGGGGCUCUUUGAACCCAGACACAACAUGGGAUAUGUAAGGAAUUACACAAACUCAUUAAUUUUGGACUUUUGUACUUAAUCCACUGAGACUGGAAUAAUUUACUAGCCAGACCAAGGUUCACCCCCUCACUUUGUGGUGAGCAUAGUGAGGGGAAACUUUCUCCUCCCCUAAUGGCACCUGUGCCCCCUCUCUCUAGGCCCUACAGAAUGCAUCUCUUGCUGCUUCCCUGCCCCUGCUGCUGUCCGGAGGGAGCAUGCCCUCUCCUUCCCUGUUGCACAAACAGCUGACCCUUUUCCUCUCACAGCAGGACCAGGCCUGUGCUGCCAUUUAAGAAGAGAACCAGCUAAGGAUGGUGUGGCAGAGGGCAUCUUGCACUGGGUGGCCACCAGUGUCGGUGCUCAGGAGGACGAGCACCUCGAGGGGCAGCAGCAGAGGAGCAGUGUCCUUGGAUGCACCAGGGGGAGUGGGAGACCUGCAGAAGGUCCCAGAGUCAGCUAUGAUGAGCAGAAGGCAGCGUUCCUUUUCUGCAGAGGCACUGGAUGGCUUCCCAGUAAAACCUCAGAAGAUGUCCUGACAAGCUCUGCCUGACAUCUUUGCCUCCAGUUUCACAGUGAUGAUGACACCACCGUGCCUGCCUCCCUGGGAACCUGGCAAAAGAACCUGACCUUGCACAAAGAUGUAUAGGAUAGCAAAUCCCACGUUUCUGAAGAGCUUGUGGACUAUUUAAUCAGACAUGCAUGUGGUACCAUUGCCUGCAUGGAAGUUGGAGACCCAGCUGGAGCAGGCAUACGGAGUUUGUGAGCUGUGGCACCGUGAAGUGUAGUCCCACAGUAACCUCAGGGACAGGGGCCACAAAAUGCUGGCACUACUGUCGGGAAUGAAAGUCAUCUGACUGGAGUGGAAAUGCGCUGACCUGUUUCCCAAGCCAGUUUGGCCUGGAGCUGGGUUCCUCUGCAGAGUGCACAAACCAGUUUGUGCUGUCCAGACUGUCCCUUGGGAGCAGACGGGCCCUCACCAUGCUGACCCCUGGUCCCCAAGCCUGUGUCCCUGCCAUGCCUCCUGCCACCACCAUCCAGCAUCUGGCACUGAAAUACAUGUCCCACAGUUGUUUUUUCAUAUUCUGUUUAACUAUUUUUUUCAACAGAGCACCUCAUUAAGUCAGAUUAAUGAAAGGAAAUAGUAUGCCAGUUGGCCAGCUUUUAGCACACAUUGAAUGCUGUCUUGAACAGUUCCCAUAAUAUUAAUGUAUAGUGUCUUUGUCCUCAGGGCAUUUGCUACUAUCAGAUGUUUCACCCUCUUCCUGCUGCAUGAAGCUCAAAAUUGCAACAUAUGCUUCAAAACACAUACCUUUGUUUCUUAACUCCUGCACCCACAUUUUCUCCUGAUAUUUAUCAGCAUAGCUAAAAUCGGUCUAGGGCAGAUAUUCAGCUCUUCUGAAGAUACUCUGCCAUGCACCUGGGUCUGCCUGGUUGAUUGCUCCCCAAGCUCUUGCAACAGGAUAGAUUUCCUUGCAACCCUUCCUUCAUCUCCACAAGUAUGCAAAGCAGUGCUUAUGUCUUCAGAGUCAGGGAUUUAGCAGCUGGGGCAAAAUCUGCCUAACAACAGGGUGAAGUGGAUUUUGUGCACUGAGAGUGUCCGAGCAGCAGUGAGGCCUCUGAGGCAGUGUCCACACGUGGUCUGGGGCCACGGGUGGGUGCCCUGCCCACAGAAGGGUCACUGCUGCCAGUGGCUCACCACUGCUCUUCUGCCCCACAGCACAGUGACCUGCUGCCUCCCACAGUGUCCAGGAAAACUGGACAUUAGGAGCAGCAGCCUUUGCAAACUGUUUUGUUUUGCCAGACCCAUCUGCCCGGAUGCAAACCCCUCAGCCAGGGGAAGACUGGAAGGAGGAGCCCAGGGCAGGUGGUUGUGAGCUGCAGGAGGCAGUCACAUCUCCCACCAGUACACCAGGAUCUGGCAGCAUGAGUGAUGGCCCAAAAAAUCUUUUUAACUGCCUUUUCUUAAAACCAGUUCCCUGCAAAAAUUCCAGCACUGGGGAAGGAAAAUCAGUGCAGGCCUGUGGUUGAGUUAAGGUCAAUGGGUUGCUUCAAAUGUGUCCUGUGACUGAGGGCAAUCACAUUUCAGCACUUUUAUUUUUUAAACCUUGGAUGAACACUGAAUUUUCAUGUUUUCUUAUAUUUUAUCUUUGAGAAACAGAGAUUAGCAAAGAUAUGGUUCCUUCUGCUCUGUAAGUGGUAACUAGCUAUUUCAAUUUAGGAGGAAAAAAUACUUUGAGAAAAGAAAUAAUAAUUUUUGAUGUCUUUUUUUUAAGUGGGUAUCUAAAAGCAAGUCCUAACUGUGGUCCCCUUAAUAUCUGCAAAAGUAAUUGCUUCUUAAACAGGUACUUGCAAAUAGCAAAUGCUACUUUCGCUAUUUAUUUUUUUCUCUUUUGAAGGGUAUUGACACCUUUCUGCUGCUAAAUAAGAGGUGUUUCAGUUCAGCAGACUGAAAGUGGGGCAUUGUACUAAUCUGUACUUGCAAUAAAACAGAACAGUGCAAACCAGAUUUCAUCAACUCUUGUAAUAGCUGUAAGUCUUGCAUUUUGCAAAACAGUGAUUUUGUUGUAGUUCAGUAACACUUCAUUAUAUUUUGAAUGAAGUCUGUAAGGUGAUAUGAGGACAGAUAAAAUAACAUUUUAUCUCUUCAUAGAAGGCCCACAGAACAUCUGUACAACUGAAGCUCCUUAUGACUCAAGGAAAUUAAAACCAAGUUUCUGUUCCGAAGGGAAUCCUGGAGCAAAAUAUUAUUUUGUGAGUUUUAUUGUAAAUGCACAGGUAGCUACAGAGGCUAAUUUUUUUUAGAGUCGAUAUUUUUACAAUGAUUUUUCAUUUGAAGUAAUGGGAAUGUUGGAAAAGCACUGCUACAAAAUCUAGAAAGAAUUAUAAUAAAUUUUUCUGAACUGUGUUCUCACCUCCUUCACAUUACCUUUUAAGAGAUGUGAGGACACCUGGGUGGAUUGCAUAAUUCUUCAUUGAAGCAGUAGGAAGUAAUUCUAAGUCCAGGAGGGCCUAACUCAUGACUGGUUGUAGGAGCUCCUGGCAGGGAGAUGCAGCUGAGCCUCCUCCUCCCUGGGGUGCAGGUGACUGGGGCAAUGGGAGGCAAUGCCCACUGAGAACAUUUGGGGGUGACAGCCAGCUGGGAAGGGCUGGGGGAAACUGGGGAGCUGGGCUGUGCAAGGGUCACUGGAUGGAGAGAGGAAUGUUGUGUGCUUUCACACAAAUCCCACAUAUAUUGUUGUGCUUUCUGUAUUUGUUAAACAAAUAAACACACCUCCUACCUGGUGUGGUUUUUUUUUUUUUUUUGCUUACCUCUCUGACUGGGAAAUGUAACCUAAAAACAUGAUUUAAGAGACCAGUGGCCAUGUACCAACAGUACACAACUCUCAGGUUCCAGUUACUGAUUGAAAGAUUGCAUAAUACAAUUAGAAAUAUUUUAGCUCUGUGUUUGAACAAGAAAGAGAAAAGUAUAUCCUCCUGGAAGAUAUUUAGGGAGAGAAGUUGCUCAUUGUGAAUUAUUUGCCUGACUCUAUAUAAGUUAUCAUGCUCAUGUGGAAUUUGGGAUCAUAGGAAGCAAGGAAACCAAUACCUUAAUCCACAAUCUACAGGCAAAAGCCUGUAGAAAGGCACAAGGAGAGCACUUUAAGAAAAAUUUGUUUUAUCAGAGUGAAAACCUCUCUCUUGUUCACCAUUGCUGCACUAUAUGAU